UACGAAGGGGGCUAGCGUUGCUCGGAAUCACUGGGUGUAAAGCGCACGUAGGCGGAUUGUUAAGUCAGGGGUGAAAUCCUGGAGCUCAACUCCAGAACUGCCUUUGAUACUGGCGAUCUCGAGUCCGGGAGAGGUGAGUGGAACUGCGAGUGUAGAGGUGAAAUUCGUAGAUAUUCGCAAGAACACCAGUGGCGAAGGCGGCUCACUGGCCCGGUACUGACGCUGAGGUGCGAAAGCGUGGGGAGCAAACAGG
RNAcentral lists this ribosomal RNA (253 nucleotides) under uncultured bacterium. RNAcentral's name for it is "partial 16S ribosomal RNA". It matches the Rfam family "Bacterial small subunit ribosomal RNA", at positions 524 to 776 of the family's 1533-position model. The record is from RNAcentral.